UCCGUAGGUGAACCUGCGGAAGGAUCAUUAUCGAGUUUUGACCGGGUUGUAGCUGGCCUUCCGAGGCAUGUGCACGCCCUGCUCAUCCACUCUACACCUGUGCACUUACUGUGGGCUUCAGAUUGCGAGGCACGCUCUUUACCGGGCUUGCGGAGCAUAUCUGUGCCUGCGUUUAUCACAAACUCUAUAAAGUAACAGAAUGUGUAUUGCGAUGUAACACAUCUAUAUACAACUUUCAGCAACGGAUCUCUUGGCUCUCGCAUCGAUGAAGAACGCAGCGAAAUGCGAUAAGUAAUGUGAAUUGCAGAAUUCAGUGAAUCAUCGAAUCUUUGAACGCACCUUGCGCUCCUUGGUAUUCCGAGGAGCAUGCCUGUUUGAGUGUCAUGAAAUCCUCAACCUACAAGCUUUUGUGGUUUGUAGGCUUGGACUUGGAGGCUUGUCGGCCGUUAUCGGUCGGCUCCUCUUAAAUGCAUUAGCUUGGUUCCUUGCGGAUCGGCUCUCGGUGUGAUAAUGUCUACGCCGCGACCGUGAAGCGUUUGGCGAGCUUCUAACCGUCUUAUAAGACAGCUUUAUGACCUCUGACCUCAAAUCAGGUAGGACUACCCGCUGAACUUAAGCAUAUCAAUAAGCGGAGGA
Molecule: ribosomal RNA, 636 nt
Filed under: Ganoderma lucidum
Lineage: Eukaryota; Fungi; Basidiomycota; Agaricomycetes; Polyporales; Polyporaceae
Description: eukaryotic LSU rRNA
Rfam family: 5.8S ribosomal RNA (bases 231-384)
Source: RNAcentral